RNAcentral lists this transfer RNA (73 nucleotides) under Schistocerca americana (American grasshopper). RNAcentral's name for it is "tRNA-Val". It matches the Rfam family "tRNA". From Rfam's summary of the family: Transfer RNA (tRNA) molecules are approximately 80 nucleotides in length. Their secondary structure includes four short double-helical elements and three loops (D, anti-codon, and T loops). Further hydrogen bonds mediate the characteristic L-shaped molecular structure. tRNAs have two regions of fundamental functional importance: the anti-codon, which is responsible for specific mRNA codon recognition, and the 3' end, to which the tRNAs corresponding amino acid is attached (by aminoacyl-tRNA synthetases). tRNAs cope with the degeneracy of the genetic code in two manners: having more than one tRNA (with a specific anti-codon) for a particular amino acid; and 'wobble' base-pairing, i.e. permitting non-standard base-pairing at the 3rd anti-codon position. Lineage: Eukaryota; Metazoa; Arthropoda; Insecta; Orthoptera; Acrididae. The record is from RNAcentral.
GUUUCCGUAGUGUAGCGGUUAUCACGUCUGCUUCACACUCAGAAGGUCCCCGGUUCGAUCCCGGGCGGGAACA